This 391-nucleotide long non-coding RNA is filed under the name Sus scrofa (pig). RNAcentral's name for it is "lncRNA (ENSSSCG00060078707.1)". Lineage: Eukaryota; Metazoa; Chordata; Mammalia; Artiodactyla; Suidae. The record is from RNAcentral.
GGAGCCAGAACCCUGGUUCCUGUGACUGAAGCUGGCUCAAGGAUACAGCCGUGGGUGGGUACUGUGCCUCCCUUCUGUCCUGGCAUAGGAAGCACAAGGGCACUUUAAGCUCUACAACCCAGAUCAGCAUAAAUCUUGGAAUUUCUUGUGGACCAAGAGUGACAGACGUGAAACAAACUCACUUCUCAGCUGGUAACUCAAACAAUGAGUUGGUUUCAGAGGCUAUUUACAAACUCUGGAGAAGAAGAACUUCAGAAAAAAGUUGGUAAGUUUUCUAAUACCCCUUUCCCCAAAGCCCUUUAAAACAACUGGUUUCUUGAUGUCUUUAUGAUUCCCUGCCUUUUAAAAAAUGUAUAAGCCGUCUGUUGGCCUCCGGUGCUCCUGGAGGUCU